Xenopus laevis (African clawed frog) is the source of this 574-nucleotide long non-coding RNA. RefSeq lists it as uncharacterized. NCBI's taxonomy places the organism in Eukaryota, Metazoa, Chordata, Amphibia, Anura, Pipidae. The record is from RefSeq and is a predicted model, not a curated record. The transcript is spliced from 3 exons.
GACAUAUUGCUUUUUUUUUUUUAUUUUGCUUUAUUUAGAUCAAUGCCCGCACUCAGCUCAGGGUUUCCAGUCUCUUUCCCUCUGCAUACUGGUUUGGCCAAGCGCUUGUGGAUGUCAUUCUUUAUUGGAUUUUACUCUUCCUGAUGUUGUUUAUAUACUUUGCAUUUAACAGCUUCUUUCUAUUGGAUUUUGUUCCUGCUAUGGUGAUGAUCACCGGCAUCAUUGGAUAUGGCAUGGCAAUGAUCCUGUAUGUUUAUGUCAUCUGCUUUAUUUUUGGAAAAGGAAAAAGUCACAACGACAGCUGGUCAUUAUUCUUUGUUAUAACAUCUUAUUUUCCAGCUAUGGCAAUGGGUACCUGGAUUUUUCCGAUGCUCUAUGUAUUACUCAUCAUUUUUCCUGGGAGUGCUCUAAAUGGAAUCAUGGAAUACACUGUAAGUGAAAUUGUUUAUUAAUGUACAAUAAUUACAUUAUGAACAGAAGUGCAUUUUUGGAUUUGGCCUCCAUACCGGAUACUUCACAAAAGAUUCAGACCACUCCUAAACCAAAUAUGAACCCCUAUUUGAAUAUUAAACAA